UGUUUCCCCUCCGAGAAGAUGGCGAGUAUCAAGUGUGGUUCCCGCCGCAAGGCCCGCCGUGCGCACUUUCAGGCCCCGAGCCAUGUGCGCCGUGUGCUCAUGAGCGCCCCGCUCUCCAAGGAGCUGCGCGCCAAGUACAACGUGCGUGCCAUGCCCGUGCGCAAGGACGACGAGGUCAUCGUGAAGCGUGGCACCUUCAAGGGCCGUGAGGGUAAGGUGACCGCGUGCUACCGCCUCAAGUGGGUCAUCCUCAUCGACAAGGUGAACCGCGAGAAGGCGAACGGCUCCACUGUGGCCGUCGGCAUCCAUCCCUCCAACGUCGAGAUUACGAAGCUGAAGCUGACGCACCACCGCAAGUCCAUCCUGGAGCGCAAGGACCGCUCGUCCAAGUCCGACAAGGGCAAGGGCAAGAUUAGCGCUGCAGACAAAGCCAUGCAGCAGAUGGACUAGAGAUCUCGCCCAACGCGAUUGAGGCUCAGUGAAACACAAGCGUGCCACGAUGGGUGCGUGCGCACGUGUACGUCAUUUCCGACGUGCGUGCAUCCAUCACCGGUACGCUUUUGCCCUUUUUCAUCUUCUUUUGUUGUUCUUUCCGUUUCAUGAAAAG
This 607-nucleotide unclassified non-coding RNA is filed under the name Leishmania donovani. RNAcentral's name for it is "gene:LdHU3.35.2210(CDS-product:60S_ribosomal_prot ein_L26_putative)". The record is from RNAcentral. Lineage: Eukaryota; Euglenozoa; Kinetoplastea; Trypanosomatida; Trypanosomatidae.